RNAcentral lists this ribosomal RNA (383 nucleotides) under uncultured bacterium. RNAcentral's name for it is "bacterial SSU rRNA". It matches the Rfam family "Bacterial small subunit ribosomal RNA", at positions 28 to 394 of the family's 1533-position model. The record is from RNAcentral.
GAUGAACGCUGGCGGCGUGCCUAACACAUGCAAGUCGAACGAAGCAUUUAAGUGAAUUCCUUCGGGAUGAAGCUUUUAUGACUUAGUGGCGGACGGGUGAGUAACGCGUGAGCAACCUGCCUUUCAGAGGGGGAUAACAGUUGGAAACGACUGCUAAUACCGCAUAACGUAUCGAGACCGCAUGGUCAUGAUACCAAAGCUGAGGCGCUGAAAGAUGGGCUCGCGUCCGAUUAGAUAGUUGGUGGGGUAACGGCCUACCAAGUCGACGAUCGGUAGCCGGACUGAGAGGUUGAUCGGCCACAUUGGGACUGAGACACGGCCCAGACUCCUACGGGAGCAGCAGUGGGGGANAUUGCACAAUGGGCGAAAGCCUGAUGCAGCAA